Molecule: ribosomal RNA, 500 nt
Filed under: uncultured bacterium
Lineage: Bacteria
Description: partial 16S ribosomal RNA
Rfam family: Bacterial small subunit ribosomal RNA
Source: RNAcentral
AUUGAACGCUGGCGGCAUGCCUUACACAUGCAAGUCGAACGGCAGCACGGGAGCAAUCCUGGUGGCGAGUGGCGAACGGGUGAGUAAUAUAUCGGAACGUGCCCAGUAGUGGGGGAUAGCCCGGCGAAAGCCGGAUUAAUACCGCAUACGACCUGAGGGUGAAAGCGGGGGAUCGCAAGACCUCGCGCUAUUGGAGCGGCCGAUAUCAGAUUAGCUUGUUGGUGGGGUAAAAGCCUACCAAGGCGACGAUCUGUAGCUGGUCUGAGAGGACGGCCAGGCACAGUGGGAAGGAGACACGGCCAAGAGUCCUACGGGAGGCAGCAGUGGGAAAUGUUGGACAAUGGGGGCAAGCCUGAUUCAUCCAUGCGGCGUGCGGGAAGAAGGCCUGCGGGUUGUAAACCGCUUUUGUCAGGGAAGAAGCGGCUCUUGAUAAUACCGAGAGCUAAUGACGGUACCUGAAGAAUAAGCACCGGCUAACUACGUGCCAGCCGCCGCCGUAA